GUCCACGCCGUAAACGAUGGGUGCUAGGUGUCGCGGGCUUUGACCCCUGCGGUGCCGUAGCUAACGCAUUAAGCACCCCGCCUGGGGAGUACGGCCGCAAGGCUAAACUCAAAGGAAUUGACGGGGCCCGCACAAGCGGUGGAGCAUGUGGUUUAAUUCGACGCAACGCGCAGAACCUUACCUGGGCUAGAAAAUGCAGGAACCUGGUCGAAAGGUCGGGGUGCUCUUCGGAGAACCUGUAGUUAGGUGCUGCAUGGCUGUCGU
This 264-nucleotide ribosomal RNA is filed under the name uncultured bacterium. RNAcentral describes it as "partial 16S ribosomal RNA". It matches the Rfam family "Bacterial small subunit ribosomal RNA", at positions 793 to 1055 of the family's 1533-position model. The record is from RNAcentral.